CUGAUACUGAGACUAAGUCACAUAAAUUCAGUUUCUUCCCAGAAGGAUCCAAAAGUGAAGACAAAGUUCAGAAAAUAAAGUGAUGGACUGAAGACCUUCCUUUAUCAGUAGAUUAUGUCAGAUUGACUGCCAGGAGACGAAGCAUUGCAGUGAAUUCAAUUGGAUCUUCAUCACUGUGAGACAGAGCAUAUUGACUGAUUUUGAACAGCUUGUCUACAACUGACUGAUUUGUAUGGACUCCUCCUUCCUGUCUUACAUUGGCUGCACCCCG
RNAcentral lists this long non-coding RNA (271 nucleotides) under Struthio camelus australis. Its description in RNAcentral is "lncRNA (ENSSCUG00000003920.1)". Lineage: Eukaryota; Metazoa; Chordata; Aves; Struthioniformes; Struthionidae. The record is from RNAcentral.